RNAcentral lists this ribosomal RNA (533 nucleotides) under uncultured fungus. RNAcentral describes it as "eukaryotic LSU rRNA". The stretch from base 193 to 346 matches the Rfam family "5.8S ribosomal RNA". The record is from RNAcentral. Lineage: Eukaryota; Fungi.
GUAACAAGGUCUCCGUUGGUGAACCAGCGGAGGGAUCAUUACCGAGUUUACAACUCCCAAACCCCUGUGAACAUACCUUAAUGUUGCCUCGGCGGAUCAGCCCGCGCCCCGUAAAACGGGACGGCCCGCCAGAGGACCCAAACUCUAAUGUUUCUUAUUGUAACUUCUGAGUAAAACAAACAAAUAAAUCAAAACUUUCAACAACGGAUCUCUUGGUUCUGGCAUCGAUGAAGAACGCAGCAAAAUGCGAUAAGUAAUGUGAAUUGCAGAAUUCAGUGAAUCAUCGAAUCUUUGAACGCACAUUGCGCCCGCUGGUAUUCCGGCGGGCAUGCCUGUUCGAGCGUCAUUUCAACCCUCAAGCCCCCGGGUUUGGUGUUGGGGAUCGGCUCUGCCCUUCUGGGCGGUGCCGCCCCCGAAAUACAUUGGCGGUCUCGCUGCAGCCUCCAUUGCGUAGUAGCUAACACCUCGCAACUGGAACGCGGCGCGGCCAUGCCGUAAAACCCCAACUUCUGAAUGUUGACCUCGGAUCAGGU